UCUACAUUCUCCGUCUGUACCUGAAGAUUUUCAACUCCAUAUGUACAUGCAAGCUAGCUCAUCCGCAUCACUUCAUUUUGCUGCUAUAAACGUGAAUAUUGUGAGGCAUACAUAGAAAACAGCGACUUUUCAACUUGACCAUAGCAAUACCUGCCUUCGUCUUCAUUUUAAUUUUUUUUGGUAUUAAUUAUUAUGAAUUUGGGUUAUUUUUCUUUUGCAUUGGCAAAUCUUUAUUUUAAUUAAAAUUUUUGGACCUGGUGCAUAAGUAAAUCACAACAUUGAAUCGUUUCUAUAAAAAAAGGGCAUCAUCUUUUAAGGAUUAAGUUUUUUUAUUUUAUUUUAAUUUUUAUAUUUUCAAGAAACGAUAUUUCAUUAGAUAGGUUUUAAUCAUACAUCAAGACGUCUAUAGACAUUUAUGAUGCCAAGUAUGGGUGGACAAACGAGUACAAGAACCAUGGGUCGGGGCGGGUACGGGCAGGUUCCAAAUGUUUUAGAAACUAAACGGGACGGGCCGGGUCUUAAACCCUAGAAAAACGGGGCCCUGGACCGACCCGUUUCUAAUUAUAAUGAACGGUUGAGAUUGAAUGAUACCCUAUCAUUCAAUCUGAACCGUUAGUUUCAACCCUACCUUUAAUCGUCCAGAUUUCCAUUUUCCAGAAUCUGAUCUGUCUCUCACUCACUCCCACCUCUCCACGGACCACGACCGUCCGUCACUUCCAAUCCCUGGACUCCGACGACAUCCCAGAGGACCCAGCCCAUCACCGCCGCCGCAACCAACACAACGGCACCACCCACCAGCCAUCCUCCGCGACGACAUCCCAGGACCCAGAUAACCCAGGUCCCAGAACCUCGAUUCUCUCCUCUUCGAAUUCGCAAUCUCUCUCUCGUCGCAGCCUCUUCGUUCUCAGUGUCAGGAAGAAGCCGAAGAGGAGGAAGAAGUAGAGUCUGAAGAGGAAUCAGAAGAAGAACAGGAAGAAUCCGAAGUCAGUAUACUCAUUAUUUGUUCUUGAUUAUGUGUCAUGAUCUGUUUGACCUAGACUUUACUUGAAAGCUACAAAAUUCUUGAUUUUAGUAGUUUGCAUAUUUCUGUUUCUGAUGAAUUGUUGUAUAUUAAAACAUAUUAGUUCACUUGUUGCCGUCGUAUCAUGUGUUUAUGGGAGUACCAUUAGUUGACUUCUAGUUUAUCUUCUCAUCUAGCCGUGUAAAGAUAUAUUUUUGCUAUACAUGUUGGCCUGUUUACUUUGAA
This is a long non-coding RNA of Pyrus x bretschneideri (Chinese white pear), 1246 nucleotides long. RefSeq lists it as uncharacterized. The record is from RefSeq and is a predicted model, not a curated record. Lineage: Eukaryota; Viridiplantae; Streptophyta; Magnoliopsida; Rosales; Rosaceae. The transcript has 2 exons.